This is a long non-coding RNA of Ficedula albicollis (Collared flycatcher), 623 nucleotides long. RefSeq lists it as uncharacterized. The record is from RefSeq and is a predicted model, not a curated record. The transcript is spliced from 5 exons. NCBI's taxonomy places the organism in Eukaryota, Metazoa, Chordata, Aves, Passeriformes, Muscicapidae.
GGCCGAGAUCGGCCGAUGCGAGGGCAAAUGGGAGGAUGCGAAACUCCCGGUUCCACCGGCCCCGGCCCAGAGGCCAAGGGUCACACAAACGACAUGGUCAUUGCCCACGCUGCCGUUCCCAGGCACAGCCCCAGCCUGCCCCACCUGCCAUGCAGCUCCCUGCCCCACACCCAGCUGGCCUGACCCACUGGAUGGCAGGAGGGAUAAUGGAGGCCAAGGUCCAGGCCCAGCCAGGUUCACAGGCUGCACUAUUGGUACCAUUUUUGUGCUGUUCACUACCAUGAGAAGCCUGGCUCCCACAAGAGGUUAACAUUAUGCAAGAUUUCAACCAGCAAGAGGAACGUGCCUAGUAGUGACCUGUUACCUGCUGAUGACCUUUAAAUCUACCAGAGGACCCCAGGGGAUGGCUGGAUUCCACAGGGAUCAAGACAACCCUUGUGAGACAGCAAACCAGCUGCAGGACUCCUCUAGGCUUUCCCCUCAUAAUCCAGUAGGAUGAAAGAAUGCACAGACACAGCAAGCAGGCAUGGAUCUGGACUACAGAGCAGUUACAGAGGGCAGUUAGAAGACAAAAGGAUGGAGAGGAACCUCAGAGACAUCUCAACAGGAGAUGGGAUAAUCAA